UAUAUGACUACUUAAUGGAAUGAAAGUCGGUCCCUUUCCCUUCCCUGGCCCGGGCUUGGGGAUUGGGUGGUCAUUAUUUUGUGGGUGGAAUCUCUUGUUCUCUUGUUUGAGUGGUUUGUUGUGGCAGCUGAUAGAUAUUGUACUCCGUUGUAUAUUAUAUAUAGUAUAUAUGCGUGCAUGUAUAUAGUACCUAUUAAAGCCGUCACAGACUUCUAUAUUUGGAUCGACAGACCCUUUUUCCCCUUAUUGACGCGUAUUGUGCGUGGGUUGGCAGAUGAGAAUAUGAAAAUAAUAUUUAAAAAAUGAGAAAGUCAAGGGUAGGAAAUGCGAAAGAGAGAAAUAUACAGAAGACUAGCUCUGACCAGCGCCGUUCGCAGCUUUGAAUGCAACUCGGUUAUCGUCUUCCACCCCCUCCCACCAGCAGACUCUUCUCUUUCAACGUACAAAAUGAACAAUAUUCCAAAAUCUUCGCCAAAUAGACGUAACGGUUGAAUUUCUAGCCUGUAAAUCAACUCCCAGAAGUUGAGUAGAAGAAAAAGAAGGGAGGGAAAAAUCAGCACACUUGUUUUUGCCGCUUAGGCUGCAAAUCGUCCGUAGCAUCCAGUUCACGAACCUGUCGUUUCUUUGUCCCGUUCAUGCCGCCAUUGCUGUUGCUGGCAGGGACAGGGCCUUCUUUCGGAGCAACCCGGCCCGCCGCUGGUUUCGGAUUUCCAUCGCCAGCUCCUCCGCUGGGCGAUUCUCGCUGGGGCAUGUAGUAGUUCUGGCCUAGCAUGUGCAACUUUCGCCGAUCGGUCUUGUUCGAUUUUGUGCGCGGUAUUCGAUCGACGAGGAGGAAGAGUGUGGGGAUUUGGAUUUCUGGUAACGUAGCACCGAUCGUCUUCUUGAUCAAUUCGACUUUCGAAUAUACACUGUGAUUGUCGUUGAUAGUUCGGAAGGUGAUUGGUUCGUUGGGGCCGGCUUUGCUGCUUAGGUUCAUUGGAUUGUCUGCGAGGUAAAGGAAAGCAGUAAGAAUGGGACUUUCGACGCCGUCUAUAGCACCGAGUAAGUCGACAACAAUGGAGUCCUCCGGUGAUAGGCAUUUCCUUGCAGUGUAUUCAACUUCGAUGGCGUCAACCCUGCCGCCAUCAAUCUUCAAUAGAGUGUCUUUUCGUCCGACGUAAGUCAGGGUUCCGUCGUGGUUAUACUUUACAAGAUCGCCAGAUCUGUACAGUCUAGCUGAGGAUCCUCUCUCGGGAUGUAGCUCAUGGAGCCAUUUUGGCGUAUAUUGUAAGAAGCCGGCUUCAGACUUUCUGGAUAUCUGGUCAAGAUACCCGCGAGCAAGAUGAGGACCUUCCAUGAUCAUUUCUCCGACGGCGCCGACAGGCAUGAGGCGUUCCGGAGAUGCGGGGG
This 1389-nucleotide small RNA is filed under the name Histoplasma ohiense. Its description in RNAcentral is "hypothetical lncRNA". Lineage: Eukaryota; Fungi; Ascomycota; Eurotiomycetes; Onygenales; Ajellomycetaceae. The record is from RNAcentral.